AACGCGAAGAACCUUACCUGGGCUCGAAAUGUUAUGGACCGGAGUGGAAACAUUCCUUCCCCGCAAGGGGCCGUAAUAUAGGUGCUGCAUGGCUGUCGUCAGCUCGUGUCGUGAGAUGUUGGGUUAAGUCCCGCAACGAGCGCAACCCUUACUUCCAGUUGCCAUCAUUUAGUUGGGCACUCUGGCAGAACCGCCUCGGAUAACGGGGAGGAAGGUGGGGAUGACGUCAAGUCCUCAUGGCCUUUAUGUCCAGGGCUACACACGUGCUACAAUGGCCGGUACAAACCGUCGCAAACCCGUGAGGGGGAGCUAAUCGGAAAAAGCCGGCCUCAGUUCGGAUCGCAGUCUGCAACUCGACUGCGUGAAGCUGGAAUCGCUAGUAAUCGCGGAUCAGAACGCCGCGGUGAAUACGUUCCCGGGCCUUGUA
RNAcentral lists this ribosomal RNA (427 nucleotides) under uncultured Acidobacterium sp. RNAcentral's name for it is "bacterial SSU rRNA". It matches the Rfam family "Bacterial small subunit ribosomal RNA", at positions 958 to 1385 of the family's 1533-position model. The record is from RNAcentral. Lineage: Bacteria; Pseudomonadati; Acidobacteriota; Terriglobia; Terriglobales; Acidobacteriaceae.